AUGGGAACGCGAAGAACCUUACCUAGACUUGACAUCUCCUGAAUAGUGUAGAGAUACAUGAAGCCCUUCGGGGCAGGAAGACAGGUGGUGCAUGGUUGUCGUCAGCUCGUGUCGUGAGAUGUUGGGUUAAGUCCCGCAACGAGCGCAACCCUUAUCAUUAGUUGCUAACAUUCAGUUGAGCACUCUAGUGAGACUGCCCGGGUUAACCGGGAGGAAGGCGGGGAUGACGUCAAAUCAUCAUGCCCCUUAUGUCUGGGGCUACACACGUGCUACAAUGGUGGGAACAAAGAGAUGCAAUACCGCAAGGUGGAGCUAAACUCAAAACCCCAUCCCAGUUCGGAUUGUAGGCUGAAACUCGCCUACAUGAAGCUGGAGUUGCUAGUAAUCGCGAAUCAGAAUGUCGCGGUGAAUACGUUCCCGGGUCUUGUACACACCG
This 436-nucleotide ribosomal RNA is filed under the name uncultured bacterium. Its description in RNAcentral is "bacterial SSU rRNA". It matches the Rfam family "Bacterial small subunit ribosomal RNA", at positions 954 to 1392 of the family's 1533-position model. The record is from RNAcentral.